Non-coding RNA from Microcebus murinus (gray mouse lemur), 519 nucleotides. The record is from the annotation of a RefSeq genome assembly. NCBI's taxonomy places the organism in Eukaryota, Metazoa, Chordata, Mammalia, Primates, Cheirogaleidae.
UUCACCACACACUUAACACAUUUACAUACCAGGACAUAAGCGGAUUGCACACAUCUCUGCCCUCCAGGAGGAGGCGUCCACCAGGCUAGCUGAAGGAAAGGCUGAACUAUGCUCUGCUCCCUCCUUGCCCUUCUCCUGGGCACUGUCUUAGGUGCCCGAGCCCAGACCAUCCAUCAAUGGCCAGCUAUCAAGGUGCAGCCUGUGGGCAGCCCUCUCUCCCUGGAGUGCACUGUGAAGGGGACAUCGAGCCCCACCCUCUUCUGGUACCGGCAGGCCGCAGGAGGGCCCCUCCAGCUGCUCUUCUACUCCGUUGGUGUUGGCCAGAUCACGCCCGAGGAGCCCCAGAACCUCUCAGCCUCCAGGCUCCAGGACGGCCAGUUCACCCUGAGUUCUGAAAAGCUCCUGCUCAGCCACUCCGGCUUCUAUCUCUGUGCCUGGAGUAUCACACUGAGCCGGGCAGGGCAGACGUCUGUGCAAAAACCUCACCCUCUCCUGAGUCCUAACCACCUUCCCCUAUAA